Molecule: ribosomal RNA, 452 nt
Filed under: uncultured bacterium
Lineage: Bacteria
Description: bacterial SSU rRNA
Rfam family: Bacterial small subunit ribosomal RNA
Source: RNAcentral
AGGUUUGAUCAUGGCUCAGAAUGAACGCUGGCGGCAGGCCUAACACAUGCAAGUCGAACGGGUCCUUCGGGACUAGUGGCGGACGGGUGAGUAACGCGUGGGAACAUACCCUUUGGUACGGAAUAGCCUCGGGAAACUGGGAGUAAUACCGUAUGUGGUCGAGAGACGAAAGAUUUAUCGCCAAAGGAUUGGCCCGCGUUGGAUUAGGUAGUUGGUGGGGUAAUGGCCUACCAAGCCGACGAUCCAUAGCUGGUUUGAGAGGAUGAUCAGCCACACUGGGACUGAGACACGGCCCAAACUCCUACGGGAGGCAGCAGUGGGGAAUCUUAGACAAUGGGGGAAACCCUGAUCUAGCCAUGCCGCGUGAUCGAUGAAGGCCUUAGGGUUGUAAAGAUCUUUCAGGUGGGAAGAUAAUGACUGUACCACCAGAAGAAGCCCCGGCUAACUCCGUG